UCUCAAAGUAAUUAUAUCAUUAACUCAAACAGGUUCAUUAAGAACCAUACAAAAGUCACAGUAGAAUUCAAAAGACAACUUCCCCAUCUUGAUCACUUCAGAUCACAUAAAAUAAAUGCAGAUCUGGUAGGGUUUUUUUUUGGACAAA
Hibiscus syriacus is the source of this 148-nucleotide long non-coding RNA. RefSeq lists it as uncharacterized. The record is from RefSeq and is a predicted model, not a curated record. NCBI's taxonomy places the organism in Eukaryota, Viridiplantae, Streptophyta, Magnoliopsida, Malvales, Malvaceae. The transcript is spliced from 3 exons.